AGCAAAUAGAUACCCGGGUAGUCCACGCCGUAAACUAUGGAUGCUAGCUGUUACGAGUAUCGACCCUCGUAAAUAGCGAAAGCUAACGCGUUAAGCAUCCCACCUGUGGAGUACGGUCGCAAGACUAAAACAUAAAGGAAUUGACGGGGACCCGCACAAGCGGUGGAGCGUGUUGUUUAAUUCGAUGAUAAGCGAAGAACCUUACCCAGGCUUGACAUCCUUGGAAGCACUGCGAAAGCAGAGUGUGCCUUCGGGAACCAAGUGACAGGUGAUGCAUGGCCGUCGUCAGCUCGUGUCGUGAGAUGUUUGGUUAAGUCCAUCAACGAGCGCAACCCUUGUGGCUAGUUGAAUUUUUCUAGUCAGACUGCCCUGGUAACAGGGAGGAAGGAGGGGAUGAUGUCAGGUCAGUAUCUCCCUUACGUCUGGGGCUACAAACACGCUACAAUGGCCGGUACAAAGGGCAGCCAAGUCGCAAGACGGAGCAAAUCCCAUCAAAGCCGGUCCCAGUUCGGAUUGGAGGCUGAAACUCGCCUCC
RNAcentral lists this ribosomal RNA (535 nucleotides) under uncultured bacterium. RNAcentral describes it as "bacterial SSU rRNA". It matches the Rfam family "Bacterial small subunit ribosomal RNA", at positions 767 to 1319 of the family's 1533-position model. The record is from RNAcentral.